UACGGGGGGGGCAAGCGUUUGUUCGGAAUACUGGGCGUAAAGGCUCGUAGGCGGCCAACUAAGUCAUACGUGAAAUCCCUCGGCUUAACCGGGGAACUGCGUCUGAUACUGGAUGGCUUGAGUUCGGGAGAGGGAUGCGGAAUUCCAGGUGUAGCGGUGAAAUGCGUAGAUAUCUGGAGGAACACCGGUGGCGAAGGCGGCAUCCUGGACCGAUACUGACGCUGAGGAGCGAAAGCCAGGGGAGCAAACGGG
Molecule: ribosomal RNA, 252 nt
Filed under: uncultured bacterium
Lineage: Bacteria
Description: partial 16S ribosomal RNA
Rfam family: Bacterial small subunit ribosomal RNA
Source: RNAcentral